UUGUUUACCUUAGUUACAUAGAUAAAUAUUCUGUACAAGUUUAUAAAUACUUGUAAUUUAUACGUUUAUUAUAGUUAUUAUAUUAAGUGAAAUAUAUUUAUUAAAUGAUUCUGGGUACUACCUCUCCAGAUGGAUAUUUUCUAUAAGACAUUGUGCAUAGAGGUUGCGUCUGUAAAGCGGACAAUACAAUUGACCAAGUUCAAGGGAAAAUCUGGGGUAUUUAUAGGAAAAGGUCACAUGACCCUUGAAACAGUAACGUGACUGCAUAUAAUGACGUCACUGAGUACCCAGAUGGGUCAUGUGAUCUAUUUGAUGACGUCACAUUGUCUCCAUCUUAACUCGAUUAAAUACAGAACAUAUUCUACGUCUCCAUCUGGAAUUCUAAUCAGUACCAACUAAUAAUGGAUGGAACACAAGGCAUGGCACAAGUUUGAUGAGUUAUGUAGCAAUAAAUAAGUGAUCACAAAUGGGCAAACUGGCGUAAACAUCAAGUAUUAUACAUAUGUUAAUAAAUCAGAAUAAAGUUGAUAACUGUCAACAAGUAUUAACGUGGUUUCCGGGGUUAUAAAAAGUGUCAUGAUGUUCGGACGAAAUGAACUUCGUAACAUUACCCCCAUCCCGCAAAGGAUUCAGACCCUGAAUCGAAAGAUAUAAGUAAUUACAUUGGUUUAUAGGAGCAUCCUUAAUGAAUCAGUACUUUUGGAUGUUUGGUAGAACAUUUGAGACAGGGAUUGUUUUUGUUGAAGAUACUCUCUGGCCACAAGAGUUCCUCUAGGCAUAGGUAUACAUGAAAGGUCAAAUGUUUGGAAUGGUUCUCUUCCCUCCCCAGAAAUAACAGGUUAACAUAGAGUGAAUUGGCGAUAGCAGGAGGGUCAACAGUACUGUAGAUUCCGGAUAUGGUUGAAUUGGUCAAUAUUUGAUGUAGGUAGUCACAUCUCUUGAGAUCUAAAGGAUAGAUGGAGCUCAAUCCAUCCCGUAGAGCUGAAGAUAAUCCAGUCAAGAUUGUGGAGCUCAUACAUUCCUGGCUGGAUGGUCAAUUGUAAUGUCCUUCUUGUUUCAUAUGUACAUUGAAAUAAAUUGGUUUGACAUC
This is a long non-coding RNA of Ruditapes philippinarum (Manila clam), 1090 nucleotides long. RefSeq lists it as uncharacterized. The record is from RefSeq and is a predicted model, not a curated record. Lineage: Eukaryota; Metazoa; Mollusca; Bivalvia; Venerida; Veneridae. The transcript is spliced from 5 exons.